This 1328-nucleotide long non-coding RNA is filed under the name Cinara cedri. Lineage: Eukaryota; Metazoa; Arthropoda; Insecta; Hemiptera; Aphididae. The record is from RNAcentral.
UUUAAAAGAAACACCCAGAAAGAGGUGGCGAACCUGGUUUUGUUCGUUCCAACACAUAUCCAAUAACAAAAAAGUAUAAAUUGGCAUUCAAAGGUAAACGGUAUGUACUUGGUAUUGGAUCAGAGACUAGAAACUCUAUUUUUCACUUACAUAACGGAAAGGAUACAAUUGUAGUAACGACAUGUAAACAUGGUAAAAACUGGAAAGAUGCUCAGGAUGAGAGAUGUGAUGUUGAUAAUUCUUUAUACGAAAAGUAAAUACAGUAUUUAUUAACUAUGUGAAGUUAUACUUUUAUAUUAAUCUUUUCAUUCUCUAGGUAUGAUUAUGGAAAUCUUCUAAAAAAUUCAACAUUUUGUUUAGUUCCUAGAGGCCGUCGUUUAGGAUCAUAUAGAUUCUUAGAAGCUCUACAAGCCGGUUGUAUACCUGUAUUGUUAUCUAAUAAUUGGGCUCUACCUUUUGAUGAAGUAAUAGAUUGGAAUAAAGCUGUUAUAUGGGCCGAUGAAAGGUUGUUGUUCCAGGUACCAGAAGUGAUUCAUUCUAUACCAGAAACUAAACUUUUUGCUUUAAGACAACAAACCCAAAUUUUGUGGGAACAGUACUUCAAUACAAUUGAAAAAAUAGUUUUCACUACUUUUGAAGUAAGAUUGUUAUAAUAAAUCAACAAUUGUCAAUGCUUUGGUGACAUACAAAUUAUAGUUUAAUUUUUCUAUAGAUAAUUAAAGAGCGUUUACCUAAAUUGCAAUCCCGAGAUGGUAUUGUUUGGAAUACUUCGCCUGGAGCUCUGGUGUCUCAACACUCAUUUACUGAGCAUCUUAAUUUCAACUUGCCAUUUAGUUAUCAUCUCCUUGGCAAACAACCUAGUUCAAAUUUUACAGCAGUAAUAUUUUCCCAACAUAACAACCUUAAUACACCACUAUAUCGUUUAGUUAGAAAUAUAGCUGCAAGCAAAUAUUUGACACAAGUAAAUUAAUCAAGUCAUAAUAUUACUAAUAGCAUAAGUAAAUUAAAUAUAAUCAAUAUAUUUGUAUAGAUUAUUAUUAACUCGUGUGCUGAUAAUGGUGGCAAAAGUGUGUACCAAAAAAUUGCUGGUAUAAAACUAUUAGUAUUGUCUGGAAAUGGCUGUAAGAGGUUUGAGCCGUUAUCAUUUAUUAAAACUGAAGCUGUUUUAUCAUUAGACGAUGAUGUUGUUUUAACUACUGAUGAAAUUGAUUUUGCAUAUCAUGUGUGGCGAUCAUUUCCCGAUAGGAUUGUUGGAUUUCCAGCUAGAUCUCAUUACUGGGACAGCAGCAAGGUUUUGUGUUAAUUAUUAUUGUAUUAUAGUUUUCACU